RNAcentral lists this ribosomal RNA (493 nucleotides) under uncultured bacterium. RNAcentral describes it as "bacterial SSU rRNA". It matches the Rfam family "Bacterial small subunit ribosomal RNA", at positions 28 to 507 of the family's 1533-position model. The record is from RNAcentral.
GAUGAACGCUAGCUACAGGCUUAACACAUGCAAGUCGAGGGGAAACGACAUCGAAAGCUUGCUUUUGGUGGGCGUCGACCGGCGCACGGGUGAGUAACGCGUAUCCAACCUGCCCACCACUUGGGGAUAACCUUGCGAAAGUAAGACUAAUACCCAAUGAUAUCCCACGAAGGCAUCCGAAUGGGAUUAAAGAUUUAUCGGUGAUGGAUGGGGAUGCGUCUGAUUAGCUUGUUGGCGGGGUAACGGCCCACCAAGGCAACGAUCAGUAGGGGUUCUGAGAGGAAGGUCCCCCACAUUGGAACUGAGACACGGUCCAAACUCCUACGGGAGGCAGCAGUGAGGAAUAUUGGUCAAUGGAGGUAACUCUGAACCAGCCAAGUAGCGUGCAGGAUGACGGCCCUAUGGGUUGUAAACUGCUUUUAUGCGGGGAUAAACUGACUCACGUGUGGGUCAUUGCAGGUACCGCAUGAAUAAGGACCGGCUAAUUCCCGUG